RNAcentral lists this ribosomal RNA (115 nucleotides) under Bacillus cytotoxicus. The record is from RNAcentral. Lineage: Bacteria; Bacillati; Bacillota; Bacilli; Caryophanales; Bacillaceae.
UUUGGUGAUGAUGGCAGAGAGGUCACACCCGUUUCCAUACCGAACACGGAAGUUAAGCUCUCUAGCGCCGAUGGUAGUUGGGGCCUUGCCCUGUGAGAGUAGGACGUCGCCAAGC